RNAcentral lists this ribosomal RNA (499 nucleotides) under uncultured bacterium. RNAcentral's name for it is "partial 16S ribosomal RNA". It matches the Rfam family "Bacterial small subunit ribosomal RNA", at positions 30 to 523 of the family's 1533-position model. The record is from RNAcentral.
AUUGAACGCUGGCGGCAUGCCUUACACAUGCAAGUCGAACGGCAGCACGGGAGCAAUCCUGGUGGCGAGUGGCGAACGGGUGAGUAAUGUAUCGGAACGUGCCCAGUCGUGGGGGAUAACGUAGCGAAAGCUACGCUAAUACCGCAUACGAUCUGUGGAUGAAAGCGGGGGACCGUAAGGCCUCGCGCGAUUGGAGCGGCCGAUAUCAGAUUAGGUAGUUGGUGGGGUAAAGGCCUACCAAGCCGACGAUCUGUAGCUGGUCUGAGAGGACGACCAGCCACACUGGGACUGAGACACGGCCCAGACUCCUACGGAGGCAGCAGUGGGGAAUUUUGGACAAUGGGCGCAAGCCUGAUCCAGCAAUGCCGCGUGCAGGAUGAAGGCCUUCGGGUUGUAAACUGCUUUUGUACGGAACGAAAAGCCCCGGGUUAAUACCCUGGGGUCAUGACGGUACCGUAAGAAUAAGCACCGGCUAACUACGUGCCAGCCGCCGCCGUAA